UUGGAGUCUGCCUUCGCUGCAGGUAGGGCCGCCUCCGUACGCAGCUCUGUAGAGAACAAUUUUUUGAAGCACACUGUGGCAUGCAGCAAAUGACAGAGAAUGAAAUCGUGAAAAUAUUUUGCGUGUGUGUCGUAUGGUUACUGUGACACUUGCACACACAAAAAGCUGAGGAGAGCUCCUUCGUCGAGUCCAUCAGCACGCACACAGGACGCAGGACGCAGGACAUGACAUGGAAUGCGGAAGGUGGAAAGUGGAAGGACACCCAACUAACGGCAUGUGCAACCCUUUCCACACAUGUGUGUGGCUUGUGUGUUCUGCUCUGUAUACAUAUACAGAGAUACAGAUACAGUCAGCUGAUACACUUAUCAGGCAUUGCAGCGCAUGGAAAUUUGUUGCUGCUGUUGUCGAGGCGGCAAGAAGGAAGGCGAUGCCACAACGGCAUGCCAGAUACUCAUACGAUACCCUCGAAAUGUGCCAAAUUAUUCUCACGUUUCUCUGAUGAUUCAAUGACCGCUUGAUGGCUGUUGUCUAGCCUUAGCAGACUGUCAAAAAUUAUUAGCUUUGGGGUUUGAUCACGAGUCAUUUAAUCGCUAUCAUCGACACCGACUGGUGGCGCUUAUCAGGUGAACCCGCUGAAUUGGCACAUGCAAUUCAAGAUCAAAGUUGAAAUUCUCCCCCCCCCUGGAGACAGAGCGCUCCGUCUGGAUCUACAUUAUCUGCCGCCGCUUGUUUGGAAUUCACACAUCCACAGCAGCGUUUAGAAGGCAGCCACCUGAUCCAGCAAACGAUGUGCCAAAAAAUCCCAACCACUUGAACCUGAGGCCAUACCCUGACGCACACUCCCCGCUACCGUGCUGCGGCAGUGCAAAAACAAUUGUUCGAGAGUAGAAAAAAUAAAGCGAAAAUGUUUUAACGCUUCGACGCAUAACGACAACAAACAAAUCGCUUCAUUUAACAAUAAAUAGCUGCCAGCUACGACGGACGACGUUUCCAAAAAAGCAAACACACGCAACACAGAAGUGAAAACAAUCGCUGGCAGAAAUGUUCAACUGAAAAAAUAAUCGCUUACUGAACACACGGCAAAAGCGUUUGGCAUGUGCCACGCCCAAGCUCGGCCGAAGGUGCACCAAGUGGCACUUGUUGAAGAUCGAAGCGAAUGGUUCGUGCUCCCCCAUUUGGCAAUUAGAUUGAAAGACCCACACUUCAGCACAUUAAUUACGAGCAUGCGGACUGUCUGCCCGCCUGUCUUCUCAGCUCUACGCGUAAUUGCCGGCCGAUCCAGUGGGGCAUGGCGGCUGUAAAUUGUGUACGGCAUGUUCCACCUGGAAAUGAAGUCAAAUUAACAAUAGACCAGCUCUAGGCGCUGGAUAAUUAUGAUGAUAAUAAUCAGCCAUACAGCAGGGAGGAUGGAAUGGCCAAUGGACAUGCAUCUGCCAUGGUUAAGUUCUGUUCUUUUGAGAUUAAAAUAGGCCCCAAGCCAAGUGCACUCUUGGCGCUGCCUCUCCGCUCUUUGGGCUGUCCAAAAAUGUGCAGCAAAUUGAACUUGAGGCCGGCAACAUGCAACUUCCUUCCUGGGUAACUUGGUGACUUCCUUGGCUUAUCCUGACCCUCGAUUCUCGACUGGCCACCGGCUGUGGCAUGCCAUUUGGCCAUUUUGCUCGUCACAUUUUGAGGCUAAUUAAAUCCACGACGGUGCAA
Molecule: long non-coding RNA, 1698 nt
Organism: Drosophila guanche
Lineage: Eukaryota; Metazoa; Arthropoda; Insecta; Diptera; Drosophilidae
Exons: 4
Source: RefSeq, a predicted model, not a curated record